UACAUUGAAGUAAAAAUUACAUUUAGUUUCGACCUAACCUUACGGAUUUAAUAGAAUCCCUAUGUUU
Molecule: transfer RNA, 67 nt
Filed under: Leptobelus sp. HL-2012
Lineage: Eukaryota; Metazoa; Arthropoda; Insecta; Hemiptera; Membracidae
Also listed under: 1 other name
Description: tRNA-Arg
Source: RNAcentral